UGCCAGACUCCUACGGGAGGCAGCAGUGGGGGAUAUUGCACAAUGGGGGGAACCCUGAUGCAGCGACGCCGCGUGGGUGGAGGAGCGUUUCGGCGCGUAAAGCCCUAUCGGCAGGGAAGAAGGAGGACGGUACCUGACUAAGAAGCCCCGGCUAACUACGUGCCAGCAGCCGCGGUAAUACGUAGGGGGCAAGCGUUAUCCGGAUUUACUGGGUGUAAAGGGGGCGCAGACGGCAGCGCAAGCCAGGAGUGAAAGCCCGGGGCCCAACCCCGGGACUGCUUUUGAAACUGUAUGGCUAGAUUGCAGGAGAGGCAAGUGGAAUUCCUAGUGUAGCGGUGAAAUGCGUAGAUAUUAGGAGGAACACCAGUGGCGAAGGCGGCUUGCUGGACUGUAAAUGACGCUGAGGCUCGAAAGCGUGGGGAGCAAACAGGAUUAGAUACCCGUGUAU
Molecule: ribosomal RNA, 448 nt
Filed under: uncultured bacterium
Lineage: Bacteria
Description: partial 16S ribosomal RNA
Rfam family: Bacterial small subunit ribosomal RNA
Source: RNAcentral